UACGGAAGGCAGCAGUGGGGAAUAUUGCACAAUGGGCGAAAGCCUGAUGCAGCUAUGCCGCGUGUAUGAAGAAGGCCUUAGGGUUGUAAAGUACUUUCAUCGGGGAGGAAAAACAAAACUAAUAAUUUUAUUUCUUGACGUUACCCGAAAAAGAAGCACCGGCUAACUCCGUGCCAGCAGCCGCGGUAAUACGGAGGGUGCUAGCGUUAAUCAGAAUUACUGGGCGUAAAGAGCACGUAGGUGGUUUUUUAAGUCAGAUGUGAAAUCCCUGGGCUUAACCUAGGAACUGCAUUUUGAAAACUGAAAUACUAGAGUAUCGUAGAGGGAGGUAGAAUUCUAGGUGUAGCGGUGAAAAUGCGUAAGAUAUCUGGAGGAAUACCUGUGGCGAAAAGCGGCCUCCUAAAACGAAUAACUGACACUGAGGUGCGAAAAGCGUGGGGAGCAAAACAGGGAUUAGAUACC
This 462-nucleotide ribosomal RNA is filed under the name uncultured bacterium. RNAcentral describes it as "bacterial SSU rRNA". It matches the Rfam family "Bacterial small subunit ribosomal RNA", at positions 340 to 786 of the family's 1533-position model. The record is from RNAcentral.